RNAcentral lists this ribosomal RNA (166 nucleotides) under uncultured bacterium. RNAcentral describes it as "partial 16S ribosomal RNA". It matches the Rfam family "Bacterial small subunit ribosomal RNA", at positions 346 to 504 of the family's 1533-position model. The record is from RNAcentral.
AGGCAACAGUGGGGAAUAUUGGACAAUGGGGGCAACCCUGAUCCAGCCAUGCCGCGUGUGUGAAGAAGGCCCUCGGGUUGUAAAGCACUUUCAGCGAGGAAGAACGCCUAGUGGUUAAUACCCAUUAGGAAAGACAUCACUCGCAGAAGAAGCACCGGCUAACUCC